GUGGGGAAUAUUGGACAAUGGGCGAAAGCCUGAUCCAGCCAUGCCGCGUGUGUGAAGAAGGUCUUCGGAUUGUAAAGCACUUUAAGUUGGGAGGAAGGGCAGUAAGUUAAUACCUUGCUGUUUUGACGUUACCGACAGAAUAAGCACCGGCUAACUCUGUGCCAGCAGCAGCGGUAAUACAGAGGGUGCAAGCGUUAAUCGGAUUUACUGGGCGUAAAGCGCGCGUAGGUGGCCAAUUAAGUCAAAUGUGAAAUCCCCGGGCUCAACCUGGGAACUGCCUCACAAACUGCAUGACUAGAGUACGGUAGAGGGUAGUGGAAUUUCCUGUGUAGCGGUGAAAUGCGUAGAUAUAGGAAGGAACACCAGUGGCGAAGGCGACUACCUGGACUGAUACUGACACUGAGGUGCGAAAGCGUGGGGAGCAAACAGGAUUAGAUACCCUUGUAGUCC
This 450-nucleotide ribosomal RNA is filed under the name uncultured bacterium. Its description in RNAcentral is "partial 16S ribosomal RNA". It matches the Rfam family "Bacterial small subunit ribosomal RNA", at positions 354 to 796 of the family's 1533-position model. The record is from RNAcentral.